AUGGGGUGGGCAAAGCUCAACGUUGAUGGCUCCUUCAGCGCCACGGGUGGAGAGGCCGGAGCGGGCAUGAUCCUUCGCAGCUAUACCGGUGAUAUCAUCUUCUCUUCCUGCAGGGAACUGCGGACGUGCUCUGACCCCCUUGAGGCCGAGCUGCAUGCAUGCAUGGAGGGGCUCAACCUGGCGCUGCAGUGGACUCCGUUGCCUAUUGUGAUGGAAACAGACUAUUCGGUAGCACUACAUGUAAUAUUAGCACCGGUGCCAGACAAAUCUCGUUUUGCUAUGAUCGUUGACCAGGUUAGACGAUUGAUGUCAGGAGGAAGAGAAGUAAAGCUAGUUCAUGUACGUAGAGAGCAGAAUGGUGUGAGCCACUAUCUUGCGAACUACGGUAGAGUCCAUAAACGUACGGUUGUAUGGCUUGGAUCGGGACCGGAGGAGGUCCCAGAUUUGUGUAAGGCCGAGGCCCUUUAUGUGUGA
RNAcentral lists this ribosomal RNA (474 nucleotides) under Triticum aestivum (bread wheat). RNAcentral's name for it is "partial small subunit ribosomal RNA". The record is from RNAcentral. Lineage: Eukaryota; Viridiplantae; Streptophyta; Magnoliopsida; Poales; Poaceae.